UAGUCCACGCCGUAAACGAUGGAUACUAGGUGUCCGGGAUAUUAACCUCCUGGGUACUACAGUUAACGCGUUAAGUAUCCCGCCUGGGGAGUACGGUCGCAAGGCUAAAACUCAAAUGAAUUGACGGGGGCCCGCACAAGCGGUGGAGCAUGUGGUUUAAUUCGAUGCAACGCGAAGAACCUUACCAGGUCUUGACAUCCUGCGAAUUUUCUAGAGAUAGAUUAGUGCCUUCGGGAACGCAGUGACAGGUGCUGCAUGGCUGUCGUCAGCUCGUGUCGUGAGAUGUUGGGUUAAGUCCCGUAACGAGCGCAACCCUUGUCCUUAGUUGCCAGCACAUAAUGGUGGGAACUCUAAGGAGACUGCCGGUGACAAACCGGAGGAAGGUGGGGACGACGUCAAAUCAUCAUGGCCCUUACGACCUGGGCUACACACGUGUUACAAUGGAACGCACAGAGGGCAGCAAACCCGCGAGGGGGAGCGAAUCCCACAAAACGUUUCGUAGUCCGGAAUGGAGUCUGCAACUCGA
RNAcentral lists this ribosomal RNA (526 nucleotides) under uncultured bacterium. RNAcentral's name for it is "bacterial SSU rRNA". It matches the Rfam family "Bacterial small subunit ribosomal RNA", at positions 791 to 1315 of the family's 1533-position model. The record is from RNAcentral.